UCCAUUUUGAUGAAGAAAUUCGAAGUGGAAGAACUAUAAAAUAGGGAGGAGAAGAAAAUUCAUAGAAAAAGAUUCCUAGCUCGGAUUUUGACGUUCUAUACCUUGUUUCGAAGAGCUUGACAAGGGCUGCCAUUUGAGGAGUGCACAGAAAGGUGCAGCAGAACCUUAAGGACAGGAAGUUGUGAUUGAGUUGCUGAAGUAAGCGGACAAAAAUUACUAGUACAAGUUAAAACUACAAUCUAUAACGGCGUCAACCACAAGAAGAUGGGCUCCAGCGUGCCCUUGAAGUGGGUGUCUCUGCACUCUGUUAUCAAGCUUCUGCUCUGGAUGCUGUUGAACUCAUGGAGCCCGCCUGAACAGGUCUUCCACCUUAAUGAGGUCAGCUUGUACCACCGUGUUCGUUUGCAUGGUCGUUGCCGGUAGAAAGAGACAAAUUUUGACGAAUAUUCGACUCCGAAUCAGAGUCCUCGUCAUCAUGCUCAUCUUCUACCUUCACAUCUUCCUCCAAUGGUACUAUGAAUUCCGGGGUGCCUUGGACUCUUCAAGGAUCAAUUAUUUAGGUGGUUUUUGAUUUGCAUUUAAAUGGAAUUCAUGUAAAGUGCUUAAGGAUUUUAUUAAAGGCAAACUGUUU
Long non-coding RNA from Daucus carota subsp. sativus, 631 nucleotides. RefSeq lists it as uncharacterized. NCBI's taxonomy places the organism in Eukaryota, Viridiplantae, Streptophyta, Magnoliopsida, Apiales, Apiaceae. The transcript is spliced from 3 exons. The record is from RefSeq and is a predicted model, not a curated record.